CCUUGAAAUACCACCCUUUAAUGGCUGGUGUUCUAACGUAGACCCGUAAUCCGGGUUGCGGACAGUGUCUGGUGGGUAGUUUGACUGGGGCGGUCUCCUCCCAAAGAGUAACGGAGGAGCACGAAGGUUGGCUAAUCCUGGUCGGACAUCAGGAGGUUAGUGCAAUGGCAUAAGCCAGCUUGACUGCGAGCGUGACGGCGCGAGCAGGUGCGAAAGCAGGUCAUAGUGAUCCGGUGGUUCUGAAUGGAAGGGCCAUCGCUCAACGGAUAAAAGGUACUCCGGGGAUAACAGGCUGAUACCGCCCAAGAGUUCAUAUCGACGGCGGUGUUUGGCACCUCGAUGUCGGCUCAUCACAUCCUGGGGCUGAAGUAGGUCCCAAGGGUAUGGCUGUUCGCCAUUUAAAGUGGUACGCGAGCUGGGUUUAGAACGUCGUGAGACAGUUCGGUCCCUAUCUGCCGUGGGCGCUGGAGAAUUGAGGGGGGCUGCUCCUAGUACGAGAGGACCGGAGUGGACGCAUCACUGGUGUUCGGGUUGUCAUGCCAAUGGCACUGCCCGGUAGCUAAAUGCGGAAGAGAUAAGUGCUGAAAGCAUCUAAGCACGAAACUUGCCCCGAGAUGAGUUCUCCCUGAGACUUUAAGUCUCCUGAAGGAACGUUAAAGACGAUGACGUUGAUAGGUCGGGUGUGUAAGCGCAGCGAUGCGUUGAGCUAACCGAUACUAAUGAACCGUGAGGCUUAACCUU
RNAcentral lists this ribosomal RNA (741 nucleotides) under Enterobacter hormaechei. Its description in RNAcentral is "partial 23S ribosomal RNA". It matches the Rfam family "Bacterial large subunit ribosomal RNA", at positions 2190 to 2925 of the family's 2925-position model. The record is from RNAcentral. Lineage: Bacteria; Pseudomonadati; Pseudomonadota; Gammaproteobacteria; Enterobacterales; Enterobacteriaceae. RNAcentral also lists the same sequence under 2 other names.